RNAcentral lists this ribosomal RNA (555 nucleotides) under Triticum aestivum (bread wheat). Its description in RNAcentral is "partial small subunit ribosomal RNA". Lineage: Eukaryota; Viridiplantae; Streptophyta; Magnoliopsida; Poales; Poaceae. The record is from RNAcentral.
CACCCGCCCCCUCCCAAUGCCACUUCCGCGUACCUCGAGCUCGACGCCCAUGUCGUCCUGUGGAUCUACGCCACCCUCUCUGAUACGAUGUGUGACCAUGUCGUCGGCGCCACCACCACCUUCGCUCUUUGGCACAAGAUCAAGGAUUUCUUCCUCGCCAAUCGCGCCGCACGCUACAUGAUUCUCAAUCGCUAGUACCGCAACCUCAAACAAGGCGAUCUCUUGGUUUCCGAAUACGUGCGCUGCAUGAAGCUCCUCAGUGAUGGCUUGGCUAACAUCAAUCACGCCGUCACCGAGGUGGAUCUCACCACCCAAUUUCUACAUGGCCUCGACAAGCGGCUCGACACCAUCCGCGUCAUCCUCGGCGAUCAGGGCCUCCCCUUUGACACCGUUCUCUCCCGGGUCAUCCUUGCCGAAGAGUCCCAAGAACAGCGCGCGGCCGAGGAAAGCGCCUCGGCCUUCGCUCUGCCCGGUGGUGGAUCCGCUAGUGCCAGUUCCAGCACGGGCGUCCGCGCCGCCACCAAUCGGGGUGAUCGCCCCUCCGACCACUUCAAC